Molecule: ribosomal RNA, 406 nt
Filed under: uncultured bacterium
Lineage: Bacteria
Description: partial 16S ribosomal RNA
Rfam family: Bacterial small subunit ribosomal RNA
Source: RNAcentral
AUUGAACGCUGGCGGCAGGCCUAACACAUGCAAGUCGAACGAGUGGCGGACGGGUGAGUAACGCGUGGUAACCUGCCUACUUGAGGGGGAUAACUAUUGGAAACGAUAGCUAAUUCCGCAUACUAGUAGUUGGACCUGCGUUGUAUUAGCUAGUAGGUACGGUAAUGGCCUACCUAGGCGACGAGACAUAGCCGACCUGAGAGGGUGAGCGGCCAGACUGGGACUGAGACACGGCCAAGACUCCUACGGGAGGCAGAAGUGGGGAAUAUUGCACAAUGGGCGAAAGCCUGAUGCAGCCAUGCCGCGUGUAUGAAGAAGGCCUUCGGGUUGUAAAGUACUUUCAGCGGGGAGGCGUUACCCGCAGAGGAAGCACCGGCUAACUCCGUGCCAGCAGCCGCGGUAAUAC